CAGUCGCCACGGUAAUACAGAGGCCUCAAGCGUUGCUCGGAUUCAUUGGGCGUAAAGGGUGCGUAGGUGGCUUGGUAAGUUGAAGGUGAAAUCUCGGGGCUUAACCCCGAAACUGCCUUCAAUACUGCUAGGCUCGAGGACUGUAGAGGAGAAUGGAAUUCACGGUGUAGCAGUGAAAUGCGUAGAUAUCGUGAGGAAGACCAGUGGCGAAGGCGAUUCUCUGGGCAGUUCCUGACACUGAGGCACGAAGGCCAGGGGAGCAAACGGGAUUAGAGACCCCGGUAGUCCCUGUCUCUUAUAC
Molecule: ribosomal RNA, 301 nt
Filed under: uncultured bacterium
Lineage: Bacteria
Description: partial 16S ribosomal RNA
Rfam family: Bacterial small subunit ribosomal RNA
Source: RNAcentral